CUCAGGAUGAACGCUGGCGGCGUGCUUAACACAUGCAAGUCGAACGAGGCACCUUGCGGAAGUUUCGGAUGGAAGCGGAGGCGACCGAGUGGCGGACGGGUGAGUAACGCGUGGGGAACCUGCCCCAUUCCGGGGGAUACCAGUUGGAAACGACUGUUAAUACCGCAUAAGCGCACGGAAGGACAUCCUUUUGUGUGAAAAAACUGAGGUGGAAUGGGAUCGGCCCCGCGUCUGAUUAGCCAGUUGGCAGGGUAACGGCCUACCAAAGCGACGAUCAGUAGCCGGCCUGAGAGGGCGACCGGCCACAUUGGGACUGAGACACGGACCCAAACUCCUACGGGAGGCAGCAGGUGGGGAAUAUUGCACAAUGGGGGAAACCCUGAUGCAGCGAACCGCCGCGUGAGUGAAGAAGUAUUUCGGUAUGUAAAGCUCUAUCAGCAGGGAAGAAGAUGACGGUACCUGCACAAGAAGCCCCGGCUAACUACGUGCCAGCCGCAGC
Molecule: ribosomal RNA, 499 nt
Filed under: uncultured bacterium
Lineage: Bacteria
Description: bacterial SSU rRNA
Rfam family: Bacterial small subunit ribosomal RNA
Source: RNAcentral